This 482-nucleotide ribosomal RNA is filed under the name uncultured bacterium. RNAcentral describes it as "bacterial SSU rRNA". It matches the Rfam family "Bacterial small subunit ribosomal RNA", at positions 50 to 518 of the family's 1533-position model. The record is from RNAcentral.
AUAGCGAAGUACGAACGGACGAAGAAGGGUAGCAAUACCUCCUAGAGUGGCGGACUGGUGAGUAACACGUGGGUGACAUACCCUUCAGAUGGGGAUAGCUAUUAGAAAUAGUAGAUAAUACCGAAUACGAGCACAGGGGUUAGAGAUCUGUGAGGAAAGGAGCUAAGGCUCCGCUGAAGGAAUGGCCUGCGGCCCAUUAGCUAGUUGGUGAGGUAAGAGCCCACCAAGGCGAUGAUGGGUAUCCGGCCUUAGAGGGUGAACGGACACAUUGGGACUGAGAUACGGCCCAGACUCCUACGGGAGGCAGCAGCUAAGAAUAUUCCGCAAUGGACGAAAGUCUGACGGAGCGACGCCGCCGUGGAUGAAGAAGGCCGGAAGGUUGUAAAAUCCUUUUGAAACUGAAGAAUAAGCGUUGUAGGGAAUGACAGCGUGGUGACAGUAGGUUUUGAAUAAGCAACGGCUAAUUACGUGCCAGCCGCCGC